UACGGAGGGAGCUAGCGUUGUUCGGAUUUACUGGGCGUAAAGCGCACGUAGGCGGCAUAGUAAGUCAGGGGUGAAAUCCCGGGGCUCAACCCCGGAACUGCCCUUGAAACUGCUAAGCUUGAAUCUUGGAGAGGCGAGUGGAAUUCCGAGUGUAGAGGUGAAAUUCGUAGAUAUUCGGAAGAACACCAGUGGCGAAGGCGACUUACUGGACACAUAUUGACGCUGAGGUGCGAAAGCGUGGGGAGCAAACAGG
Molecule: ribosomal RNA, 253 nt
Filed under: uncultured bacterium
Lineage: Bacteria
Description: partial 16S ribosomal RNA
Rfam family: Bacterial small subunit ribosomal RNA
Source: RNAcentral